ACGCGAAGAACCUUACCUGGGUUCGAAAUGCAGGUGUAAGCCUCAGAGAUGAGGUCCCCUCUUCGGAGGCACCUGUAUAGGUGCUGCAUGGCUGUCGUCAGCUCGUGUCGUGAGAUGUUGGGUUAAGUCCCGCAACGAGCGCAACCCUUGUCCAUAGUUGCUAACGGGUAGUGCCGAGAACUCUAUGGAGACUGCCGGUGAUAAACCGGAGGAAGGUGGGGAUGACGUCAAGUCCUCAUGGCCUUUAUGUCCAGGGCUACACACGUGCUACAAUGGGCGGUACAAAGAGUUGCGAUCCCGCAAGGGGGAGCUAAUCUCAAAAAGCCGCUCUCAGUUCGGAUUGUUCUCUGCAACUCGAGAGCAUGAAGCUGGAAUCGCUAGUAAUCGCGGAUCAGCACGCCGCGGUGAAUACGUUCCCGGGCCUUGUA
RNAcentral lists this ribosomal RNA (428 nucleotides) under uncultured Acidobacterium sp. RNAcentral describes it as "bacterial SSU rRNA". It matches the Rfam family "Bacterial small subunit ribosomal RNA", at positions 959 to 1385 of the family's 1533-position model. The record is from RNAcentral. Lineage: Bacteria; Pseudomonadati; Acidobacteriota; Terriglobia; Terriglobales; Acidobacteriaceae.